This 23-nucleotide transfer RNA is filed under the name Boana albopunctata (spotted treefrog). RNAcentral describes it as "partial tRNA-Gly". The record is from RNAcentral. Lineage: Eukaryota; Metazoa; Chordata; Amphibia; Anura; Hylidae.
UAGAAAAGUAGGAAUUGAACCUA